AUGAACGCUGGCGGCGUGCCUAAUACCUGCAAGUCGAGCGAACGGACGAGUAGCUUUCUUCUCUGAUGUUAGCGGCGGACGGGUGAGUAACACGUGGAUAACCUACCUAUUAGUCUGGGAUAACUUCGGGAAACCGUAGCUAUUUCCGGUUAAUAUUUUUAACCUCUUUGUUCAAUUGUUCAAGUCGGUCUUGCUCUCACUUAUACAUUGAUCCUCGCUGCAUUAGAUAGUUGGUAAGGUAACGGCUUACCAAGGCAACGAUGCAUAGCCGACAUGAGAGGGUGAUCGGAAAAACGGGAACUGAGACACGGUCAAGACAACUACGGGAGGCAGCAGUAGGGAAAAUUACGCAAUGGGCGAAAGCAUGACGGAGCAACGCCGCGUGAGUGAUGAAGGACUAAGGAUCGUAAAACUCUGUUAUUAGGGAAGAAAAAAAGUGUAAGAAACUGUGCACAUCAUGACGGUAACUAAACAGAAAGCAACGGCUAACUACGUG
RNAcentral lists this ribosomal RNA (496 nucleotides) under uncultured bacterium. Its description in RNAcentral is "partial 16S ribosomal RNA". It matches the Rfam family "Bacterial small subunit ribosomal RNA", at positions 29 to 507 of the family's 1533-position model. The record is from RNAcentral.